RNAcentral lists this ribosomal RNA (393 nucleotides) under uncultured bacterium. Its description in RNAcentral is "partial 16S ribosomal RNA". It matches the Rfam family "Bacterial small subunit ribosomal RNA", at positions 523 to 918 of the family's 1533-position model. The record is from RNAcentral.
AUACGGAGGACGCGAGCGUUAUCCGGAUUCAUUGGGUUUAAAGGGUGCGCAGGCGGCCGUGCAAGUCAGCGGUGAAAGCCCGGGGCCCAACCCCGGAAGUGCCGUUGAUACUGCAUGGCUUGAAUGCGGUCGAGGCGGGCGGAACGUGGCGUGUAGCGGGGAAAUGCGUAGAUAUGCCACAGAAAGCCGAUAGCGGAGGCAGCUCGCCAGGCCUGCAUUGACGCUCGGGCACGAAAGCGUGGGGAUCGAACAGGAUUAGAUACCCUGGUAGUCCACGCCGUAAACGAUGGGCGCUCGUCGUCGGCGGCAGACAGUCGGCGGCCAAGCGAAAGCGAUAAGCGCCCCACCUGGGGAGUACGGUCGCAAGGCUGAAACUCAAAUGAAUUGACGGGG